This is an RNA transcript of Cercocebus atys (sooty mangabey), 2802 nucleotides long. It is a transcript of the gene named cleavage and polyadenylation specific factor 4, 30kDa, with no coding region annotated. The record is from RefSeq and is a predicted model, not a curated record. The transcript has 8 exons. Lineage: Eukaryota; Metazoa; Chordata; Mammalia; Primates; Cercopithecidae.
CAUCCCUCGGGCGGCGGCGGCGGCGGCGGCUGCGAGGCGCAGGAGGAGCGUGUGCGGCGGGCCCGGCGGCGGGUAGAGAGGCGAGAGGGCUGCAGGAGACCGAGGGGGAGCCGGGCCGGUGGGGCCGCCGCCGCCGCCAUGCAGGAAAUAAUCGCCAGCGUGGACCACAUCAAGUUUGACUUGGAGAUCGCAGUGGAGCAGCAGCUCGGGGCGCAGCCGCUGCCCUUCCCCGGCAUGGACAAGUCGGGUGCUGCUGUCUGUGAAUUCUUUUUGAAAGCUGCCUGCGGCAAAGGGGGUAUGUGUCCGUUUCGCCACAUCAGUGGUGAGAAGACAGUUGUGUGCAAACACUGGCUGCGUGGCCUAUGCAAGAAAGGGGACCAGUGCGAGUUCCUGCAUGAGUAUGACAUGACCAAGAUGCCCGAGUGCUACUUCUACUCCAAGUUCGCUCUUAGACAUGAAGAGCCAAUCAGAGUGGAACUUCCUGGUCUCCAUGGGUGCUUUUCUGUCCAGCCCCACUGCACAGGAAGCUGGGGCUCAGAGACACUCUUCCCUGGCUCUCAGGGCUCAUCAGGAGAGUGCAGCAACAAGGAGUGUCCCUUCCUGCACAUCGACCCCGAGUCCAAGAUCAAGGACUGCCCUUGGUAUGACCGCGGCUUCUGCAAGCACGGUCCCCUCUGCAGGCACCGGCACACACGGAGAGUCAUCUGUGUGAAUUACCUCGUGGGAUUCUGCCCAGAGGGGCCCUCAUGUAAAUUCAUGCAGCUGCUGGUGACCAGCCCUCGAUUUGAACUGCCCAUGGGAACCACCGAGCAGCCCCCACUGCCGCAGCAGACCCAGCCUCCGGCAAAGGUACCGUGCCUGGCCCUCCUCGGUAGGAAGGAAGUGCCUUUUCUCCAGCGAGAACCUCAGUGUCCCCCGGGGGUGCAGUCUGCUUUAGACCCCACUGCAGAACUUGGGAGAGAAGGGGCGUCUCCCAAGUUCCCGCAGAAAAGUCAGGGGCAGAGCCAUGUGUAUCUCCCUCGAGAGAUGCAGGGCCUCUCACCCUGGAACCUCAGCAAGGCCAAGCGCAGCAGCAAAGUUGAGGCGCCAUGCAACCAGCCACCCAUUGUGAGAUGGGGCUGCCUGGCACAGCAGCGUCUGCCCCAGGAGCCGGCCUGGGCACCAUGUCUGCGCCCGGGGAGCUGGCAUGGAGCCGGCCUGGGCAAUGUGUCUGCUGCUUUUGCUCCUGGGCCAGACCCUUCGUUUUGCAGAUAGGGGAACUGAGACUUCCAGAGCGGGGGAACUUGCCUGAGGCAAUGCCACUGGGCAGGAGCAGGUGUGGCAGCAGAACUGACCACUCUGGCCAGCACCGCCCCUGCUCCUGUGGAGUGGAGGCUGGGAGGAGGGGUGAGAACAGGCCCAGCUGGCUCCAGUUUUCUAGAUAAGGGGCCCCGCAGCCAAGCAGCUGGUCCGACCCCUCCAGCCCAAGGAGGGAGGGAAAUGCCAUAGACACAUGCCAUCUGCAGCAGCCCCUCAACGCCAAGGGCACCCUGAGUUUGGAUAUGGGAGUCGGGGGUUGAGCCAAGAGGAAGGGCUGGCAUCAAGGCAGGGCGGGCAUCAGGCAGGGUUCCCAACAGGCCCACCAAGCCCACCCACCUGAGCCCAAAGCCUCACCUCCUACCCUGCUGGGCUCUGGACUGGCUGCCAAAGCCCCACCAGCCCCGCUAAGUGCUAGAGGCUGAACAGCCAGGAGAGGAUGCAGUGGAUACAGCUGCGUGGAGGCCAGUCCUAUUGAACUCUUGAUGGGGAAAGCGGGGAAUUCCAGGUGUAGGUGCAGCCGUGCCAACCUGGGGGUUUUCUAGCUCGGGUUCUGCACUUAUGGGCCAGAGCCAGGAGCCCACGGGUCGGGAGGAGGCCCUGCUGUGGAAUCCCUACCCCAGGAGCCCUGGCCCUCCUCCUGGCGGGGCUCCCUAGAGGAGGGUCCUCUCAGCCCGAGAACGCAGCUCAGUGUGUCAGGCUCCAACUGUUUUUCUGUGACUUGCUCGCCGUGUAGGCUGCUAAACAUCUGGCUGAACCAAGCGUUCAUCCUGACCUGAAGCCAGAACCUCAGAAACCAAAGUAAGGCCUGAACAUGCCCUCGCCCCACUGCCCCAGAGACCUCCUCUUGUCUCCUUGAUGUUUUGUUUUCUAUUUUAUUUUUCGUUUUUGUGUGUCUGCAUGGUGUUUUUCGGGCAGUGGCUUCUGCCAUCAUCACCAGAUGUUUCUCUGUUGCCCGCUGUCCUGAGCUGGGCCGUCGUGGAAGCCCUUCUUCCUGCCGUUUGCGGGACGAGUCCCGCCCUCUUUUUUCCUGUCCCCAUCGGUAGUCUGCGUGCACGUGUUUUCCACAGUAAAACCGUGUUGUGUAACUCUUUCCAGCAAAGUAACAAUCCGCCAUUACAAAGGUCGUCCUCCUUGAUCCAGUUAACGAGUCAGAACUCUUCUCCCAAUCAGCAGAGAACCCCACAGGUCAUCGGGGUCAUGCAGAGUCAAAACAGCAGCGCGGGCAACCGGGGACCCCGGCCACUGGAGCAGGUCACCUGUUACAAGUGUGGCGAGAAAGGACACUACGCCAACAGAUGCACCAAAGGGCACUUGGCCUUUCUCAGUGGACAGUGACAGCAGCUGGAGCCAGCUCCGAGCAGCCCGGGGGCCCCGCUGUUGGGAGUGUGCAUUUAACUAUUUCAUGCGCUUAUUGGCGCGACUGUGGCUUGAGCUGGCCCGCAGGCAUGUGGGUUUCAUCGUUCUGAGGGGCCACGCCUGUUAGUUUUCUAUUAUUCUGCCGUA